Schistosoma mattheei is the source of this 78-nucleotide non-coding RNA. The record is from Rfam. NCBI's taxonomy places the organism in Eukaryota, Metazoa, Platyhelminthes, Trematoda, Strigeidida, Schistosomatidae.
AACCUUCUGUAUCCGUGCUGAGAUUCCGUCACACACUAGCCCACAAGGACUGAUGAGACUUCCAAGAUAAUUGAAGCG